Molecule: ribosomal RNA, 326 nt
Filed under: Pinalitus oromii
Lineage: Eukaryota; Metazoa; Arthropoda; Insecta; Hemiptera; Miridae
Description: partial 16S ribosomal RNA
Source: RNAcentral
UAUUUUGACUGUACAAAGGUAGCAUAAUCAUUUGUCUUUUAAUUGAAGGCUAGUAUGAAUGGUUGGACGAAAAAUAUACUUUCUUUAUUUUAUAUAAAUAAAUUAAUUUUUUAGUUAAAAAGCUAAGAUUUUUUUAUAGGACGAGAAGACCCUAUAGAACUUUAUUUUCUACAUAUAUAUAUUUUAUAGAUUUUUAAAAUAUUAUAUAUUAAUAGUUAAUUUAAUUGGGGUGAUUGAAAAAAUUAUAUAACUUUUUCUAUUUCUAUCAUUUAUUUAUGAUGUUUUUGAUCCUUUAAUAUGGAAAAUAAGAUUAAGUUACCUUAGGG